Molecule: ribosomal RNA, 395 nt
Filed under: uncultured Pseudomonas sp.
Lineage: Bacteria; Pseudomonadati; Pseudomonadota; Gammaproteobacteria; Pseudomonadales; Pseudomonadaceae
Description: bacterial SSU rRNA
Rfam family: Bacterial small subunit ribosomal RNA
Source: RNAcentral
GCAGAGAACUUUCCAGAGAUGGAUUGGUGCCUUCGGGAACUCUGACACAGGUGCUGCAUGGCUGUCGUCAGCUCGUGUCGUGAGAUGUUGGGUUAAGUCCCGUAACGAGCGCAACCCUUGUCCUUAGUUACCAGCACGUUAUGGUGGGCACUCUAAGGAGACUGCCGGUGACAAACCGGAGGAAGGUGGGGAUGACGUCAAGUCAUCAUGGCUCUUACGGCCUGGGCUACACACGUGCUACAAUGGUCGGUACAAAGGGUUGCCAAGCCGCGAGGUGGAGCUAAUCCCAUAAAACCGAUCGUAGUCCGGAUCGCAGUCUGCAACUCGACUGCGUGAAGUCGGAAUCGCUAGUAAUCGUGAAUCAGAAUGUCACGGUGAAUACGUUCCCGGGCCUU